UUUCCCCAGAUGGUGGCAAAUCUGUAACCUUGUAGCUGUGCUCACUCCAAUUAUUAUCUACCCUAGGGAAGACUGGUGGCAAAUUUGCUUGCAAUAAGUAGUUUCUUUCUUCCUCUUGUCGUUUUUCUUAAAAGAGCUUGGUCCUUCUGUCAGGACAGUAUAUUCUUUCUAUGUACCAUUUUUUAUGGGUCCAGAAGAAACUAUUGACGAGAGCAGGCUGGAUAACAAAAUCUACAUUGGAACAGAAUUGGGGCAGCAUUGGAAGAAGAGAGUACUAUUUUUUUGAAAAUAUUUCUUUUGGCUGAAGCCAUGCUCCACCAAGGCUGUGGCUAUCACCUGUCCUGGAAGACAUCUCCUGGAGCAAGAGCUAGGCAGAGUUGGCUUUGGCAGCUCUGGCAGCAGGUUGGCAUGCUCCAAAAGCAGUGAUGAUCCUCACCACCCAGCCUAGGCACAGCAUUGGAAGAAAAACAUGGCUCUUCACAAUUCAACUCUGCAGCAAAUACAAUCCGUAUCAGUCUGCCACAGCAUGAAACGUUCCUUGGAGAAAAUAAAUGAGAGGAGUCACUACAGGUAGAUGCAGGGCUGGAGGUGCAAGAACAUGCAUUUGUCUCUGCUGCGUAGCCUGCUGUAUUUGUCUUCAUUGCAGGUGGGAGAUUUUGUUAUCACUGUGAAGCUUGCAGCCAUUCCUAAGACCAGGCAGUGGUCUGGGCUGCAGAAAGCCAAUAAAACUGACCUGUUAGUCUCAAGUCUCACCUGGACUUGAGGUACUUUCUUUGUUUUCCCUGCACUGCCUUUGGUCCUGAUUCCUUUAUCCUGCUCCUCCCUGUUGCUUAAAAAAAUCAGCUGCUCAGGCCUGUUUUCAUUGCAAACCACAUCCUAACCACCCUCUUCUUCUUGCUCUUUUUACUUCUUCCCUCUCAUUUUUAUUUUAUCUUCUGCACCACUUCUGUAUCCCCUUCUCAUCUUUUCUCCAGCAACACCUUUGUCAGGGAUUAUUUUUCUAGUAUAAAGCUAUGAAAUUACAACUUUCAGAAAUUACAUAUACAUAUACAUAUAUAUAUAUAUAUAUAUAUAUAUAUAGAUGCAGGCUUAAUAAAAGCUAUGAGGUAUCUAUGUACCUAGGCAUAGUGGUGACAUACAAAAGGAAAAAAGCACUUAAGUUCUGCUAAUCCUACACAGAAGUUAAGCACCCAGCACAAUUAAUGUGUUUUAUCGUGCAUUUUUAUGGUGCAUUUUUAUCAGUGCCUGAUACCUCUCUGAGCAUCUAAAUACUUCUGGAAAGUGAUGGUUGAUGGGGUUAAUUAUCAGCUUCACUUGUGCGCUGAACAUUUUUCCCAUACCUUCUCCCUCUUGAUUGAGAAUGAAAGUUCUCCAGGGCUGGGACUGCAUCCUUCGGUGAGUUUGUAUGGGCCUCAGGGCUUUUUCUGGACACUAACAUGUUACAAAUAAAUGUGCUUAGAAAGCCCGGUCUUACCAUUUAGACUUUCAGCUGUAGAAAGUCAACACCCCACAAGGGUCUUCUGCUAAAGGAAUGUAAAAUAAAAAGAAAAUAACUAUGGGUAAUCAUGCUGUUGGCUAAAAUGUGUUACCAAAAAUUACUGAUGACAAACCUCAAAAUUUGGUGAUUCACUCAAGCACCCAAAAAGCACUUACAAGAAACCGCAUGACUUAUUAUGUUAGAGGUCAGGGAUGGUUUCAUACAGUCUAUGCACGUAAUUAUGUAGUUUUGAAAAAGCAACCCUUGUCCUCUCAAGGUAGAUAAUAAACACUGUGCUGUAACUGAAAGAAGGCCAUGCAUUGCUUGGAAGAACAAACUCCUCCUCUUUGGCUCUUUCUCCUAUUUAUUUAUUCUUUGCACAGCAUCUAACACAAUAGUUGGCGAGGCAGCAAAAAAAACUCAAACAGCACAGCCUGAAACGUGGAAGGACAGAAUUGCCUUCUGCCUAAGCUGAUUUUAGUGUAGCUGCUUUUCAUGUGGGUAACUUCAACCAUGUUACGCACAUGAGGGCGAAAGAUGACCCUAGGUUCCCGGCUGAAAUUUAGCCACACAAACCAGAUCUGUGGGAUGAUUAUCAGAGGAAAGAGCCUGAGGAGCCCGUCCUGAGUUUUAAGUCAUGUCCCCUCAAGGGAGAUGCAAUGCUAUGACCCCAUCCUGCAUGGCACAGCACUGCUUCUGCCAGCUGAAACGCAGCUUUGAAAACAUUAAGAUGUUCACAUUCACUCUGGUGGAGAGAAAAGCAUGUCUAAAUUUGAAUGGAUCUGACUAUUCUGUAAGUCAUGUAAAGCUAUAAGCCAUUAUAACCAUCACAGGAAGCUGCCAGUUCAGUUUAUUUCAGCAAGAUUUCAGUGCCUAUGUACCUUUGAAUAGCUGGAACAAAGCAACUGGGUUUCAACUUUCACAGUUUACCAAAUGUGGCGUUGAUGGUGAGCCGUAUGGUGAUGUAAAGGACAGAGCUAUAUUUGUUUAAGGAACCUUCAGGCUGAAUUUCCAGCCUCUCUCAGCCUCUGAGUGCUCAGAGAGAGGAAAGGGGGAAGCUCUGAGGAAAACAAAUGUUUCCUGAACUUUGAGUUUCUUUGCUUUGAUAUAUUACCAGAUUUUUUUCUGUCAUGUGACCAGUCCUCCUUUAUAAACUUUGCUUUAUCUCAGUGACAUUUUGUGUCUAGAAAAUGAUUAAGCUGUCAUAUUUGGGGACUGGAAAGAGCAAAGGGCUGAAAGAGUUUGUUCUACCUGUCAAGUUACUCAGUUACAGCUGAGUCCCCUUGCAGACAUGCAUUUCCUCUAGCAUAUGCACGCACCACGUGCUGGCCCCUGCCUGCUGCUCACACUGUAGGAGCUAUAGAUAGAAAAAAUCUAUAUGUAUAAAUCACUAUGUAUUAAAAAUAUAUCACCAGAUCAGGAGGACUGUGGGACUCAGCAAAGUUCCCUAUUACUUAUUAGCCAGCCAGUGGUCUGGCUUGUCUGUCUCUGUCCUUGGCAAUAAAACAGAGAUGAAAGGUAGCCGCUUAUUUGGAGGCAGACUUAAAAGUACAGUAGCUAUCUGAGGCCCUAGCCUUAUCAAAGGCUGGGACAGCAAUAACAGUACUACGUGGAGCAACAAGGACGUAGUAGGCUGGGCUGUCAAACAGUUACACCUUGUGCGCAAACAGCAGUUUCACAUCCCCGUGGGCACCGAAAACACAGUUGGCAGCUGAAGGUAGGCUACAGCAGAUGGUGCCUGUUUGUGGUACCAGCCUCCUUCUCCAAGCCAGCACACGCACACCAACGCUGUGCACAGCAUCGCCUCCUAAAGUGGGGGAGCCUCUGCUGUAACCAGCUGGUGAAGUUCGAGGUUCCUGGGCAGAGCUUAGCCCCAGGCCCUUAGGGGAAGUUGACCAAAGCUGUCAAACCUGGGUCUGACAAACUGGAAGAUAAUUUUGUGCGAGCUUUCUUGCCUGUGAUCCAACAGAUCAGUGCCUGAUUUGGCUGAAAGCAACCAGCAGUGAGAGCAGCCUUCUGUAGAGCUGUUAAAACGGUAGUCUUGAAUUCUGGCAGGAGAGCUGGACAUGGGAAGCUCCGCAUUUAUGUUUUAGGGGUAGCGGAUAUGCCCUUUCAGGGAUGACCAUUAGAGUUUUGAACUACGAGCACCAUGUGGAAGCCAUAAGGAGUCCUGCUGGCCCUAGGGGAGAACUGCUGUGCUUAGCAGAGACCCGAGUCAAUGAUUUGAACAAAAAGGCAGGGCCUGUGUCAGGAAGAAAUAGGCUGAGGUACUGAAUCAGUCACUACAGGCUUUUUUUUUCCUCAUAAAGCAAUUUUUAAAAUUUACACAUUCAUUUCUAUAAUGCACUAUGGUUAGAUGUGUCUGAUAAAUUGUGUCCUGCAAAAUACAAACAGCAAACAUAGCAGAAAAGUCAGAAACAAGUGCUCCCUACAGCACUGUACCACCGGGACAGUCACCCGAGAACACGCUGAAAAGUGAAGGCUGUCCAAGGAGCCCACAGGUCUGAAAUUCAGCAGAUGGAUUUUGACAGUAAAGGUCAGAGACAUGCAUUAACAGGAUAUCAUAAAGUGGGUGUGGUGGAAGGCAAACUGCCUCAAACCCACUGGGUAACCUGGGUCCAAAUGUUGCAAGGCCUGGCGCUAACAAAUAGCUCUUUCUGGAGCUUUGGUUUGUGCUCUCUGCUGUGAAAUUAGUAAGUGAAAAUCAUAAAAGCAUUUUCGUUUUGUUGGAUAAGUCAACCAAAUAUUUGGAGUUGGAAGCAUUGCAAUGCAGUGUUUGUGCUGGAGUUUGAAUGCUUCUUAUUCCCAAUUCCUCUUUCCAGAGCAUUUUUUCCCCUAAAGAAAGGAAGCAGGAAGAAACCACAGCAAACCUGGUAAAGACACAACAUGGACACCAAAGACACUGAAAUGGCAAUAGCAGCAUAAAAUUACAUUUGCCUUGAGUCACAAGAACCUCAUUCGGAAAGCACACAAUAUUCAGACAUAGUUUCCUCAGAAGACUUCAUGAAUCUUACAGGCAGUUGGUACCAGCAGAAGCAGGUGUGAUACUGUUUUAAAUGCUAAUUUUAGUGCCAAACACACUUUGCUUCUGGAGAAUAAUCGUGAUGUGCUGGGUGAAUCUGUUAACAAGCUGGUGAAAGUAUCUUGAUAAGUUCACAAGAGCUUUUAAUAAAAUAGUGGAGUUUAAAAAUGCCCUGUGAAUUAUCUCCCACCUCUGAGUGAUAUUUCAGAUUACAAAACCUGGGGGUAGUAGGUUGCAAAAGAACUCCCAGGAAAAAUCUCCAAGUAUGCUUUCUAAAAGCAUGUGUUGGCCUUGCUUAGAAGCCUACCUGUACUGCACAGCUGAUGUUUCUGGAAACCCUAGGAGUUGCUGGAACCAGGCUACACAGCAUUAUAUAAAGUGGUUUGCUUCACUUCAGUACUGAUAAGAAAAUUCUUGAAAGUUGCUUAAGGGACAGUAAUUAUGGUGCUGAUUUCUUUUAUUUUGCUGCUCUGAAGCAGGGUUCUGAAGACAGACAGUGUAAUGGGAGAGGUGGUGGUUACUGAGAGAUCCUCCCUAUGUGUUUUCUCAUUCUUAAGGGCAAAUGAAGAAAUUUGUUGAAAACUUAAACUUGGAGCAAUUUUUCCUAUUCCUAUCUGUCAUGUGGUCAACAUUAAUAUUACAGACCAUGAUUUUAAAUCAUUAUUUAAUUUGAAAAUAUCUGGGGUGGCAGGGAGCGAGGAGGAACAUGAGAAAAAAGUCUGUAAAUUGUAUCCAAAGUUGCUGAGUCCUAUUUUCAGAUGUCAUGGGAAAUCACAUACUCUAAUUCCUUUCAUACAUUGAUCAAUCUCUUUUUCAAAUUGGGUAGAAAGUUCUCUCCUGCUGCUCCUCUUGAAAGCUCUUCCAAAACUUCCUUCCUCUGAUGGUUUGAAACAUUCUUCUACUUCCUGCAUAUAUUUCUCUAGGGGUAGCUUAUACACAUUGCUCUGAACAAACAUUGUCUUUAGUUUGAACAGCUCUUCUCUUUCCCAUGUUUUCAGAAAGGAAAGUCAUUAGCUAAAUAAGCCACUUUCUGUUGGCUUUGCUAUGUGAGAUCAUUUGUUCCAUUUGUCUUAAUUUCCUUUAAUUUCCUUUGAUAGAGCUAAUUCAGUUGACCUUUCAGAAAUUAUCAAUCUUAUAAUGGUUCCGAUAUUCAGGACCUACUUCUUUUUGAUAAUUACUCCUUUUUUUUUUCUCUUUCUGUGCAGCCACUCCAUGUAUACUUGCAUUGAGGUCCUUUUCUGCAUCUCUUCCAGUCUGCGUUCAUUAGCAAUGGACUUGAGUGACCAGAGCUGCAUUCGGCAUGCAGGAAGACCUCUUAACAGUGCCUGCUACAGAAACUGUUAUUACUCAUUUGUAACUAAUGAUCUACCAAUUUAGAGUAAAAAUUCUCAAAAUAUAUGGCCUUAAUCUUUACACUGAGUUAUUACAUUCUAUUAUUAGCACCAUUUCUGGGCACAGUUUAAUUGUUCCUUCCAGUUUCGGUGCACUGAGCUUCAUCAAGUUUACUUUUGCUGUGGGUAAAACAAUUUCCAUACCUAUGGAGUUACUCCCAUUUAUCAUACUGCUUUUUUUACUGCUAUGUUAAGUUUUAGCCAGGCUGAAGAUAGCUGAAAAGAAAGUAUACAGGCUUUAGACCACAUUUAGGAGGUGCCUAAUCUCUGCCUCAUGUCCUCCCUCUUUAUACAACAUCUGCUGCUAGUUUCAAUGUUCUUUCAUGCUUUAACUCAGCUCAGCUUGGAGAAGAAUUCUCACUUUAAUCUCUAAAUGUUUUGAACUCCAAGUCUCUGCUUAUUAGUCUAUUUUUGCAGUCCUAGUAACUUAUUUUGAAUUGGUCCAGGGAGGUAUGAAUAAAUUUGAAGACAGCAAGUGCAGAAAGAGUAGGAACGUUACAAGUCGGACCUGUGUUAGCCUUACCUCCCUAUUGCCUAUGAGUAGAUUUAGUACAGGGAUGCCUGACUAAACUGACUGAUUUCCCAUGAGCAAAUGGCAUGUCUAUCUGUAAUUCUGAGAACAGUGUGCUCCCAGUGAACACCUUCAUGGUGAAAACAAACUUAAAUAAAAUUAUCUCCAAGAUUUUAUUUUUCCUGUCUUCAGCAGCAGAAACCUAGAGGCCUUUCACUGAAGUUAAAGGAGUCACUGAUUAAAACGGAGAGUGGGGGAGCCUAGCUUCCAGUCCUUAGUAGUGAUUUAGAUGGGAAAUUCGCCUGGUAACAAUUUCACUGUUAAAAGGUCUCUGAAGUGGGGAUCAAACCAACUCAGCACUGCAGAUAACUGUAAUGAGAUAAAAAAUAAGAUGAAUGAGUUUGUGUUUGUAUAGCACUUGGAAUGCACAGAGUCCAAUAUAGAUGUUAAAUAUUAUUACUAAAUACAUGAGUGCUCUGUCAUGAGGAAAUUUUUUGCAAAAGCAAUGGAAUAGGUAAACUCAGAGACCUGGACAGGUCAUGAAAAAAAAAUCAUAUCAAUCAAACAGUACCCUUUCCUGGGCUACACCCUACUCUCCCAUAGUAAUAUCACUUGGGAAAGAUUUAUACCCACAUGCAGUGGCCAUAGCAACAGGAAUGAUUACAAAUAUAAGAGCUCAGUUGUGCCAGGUGAUCCCUAGGUUUCCAUUACAGCAGGGAACCUCUAACACCCAAUUGUGGUCUUCCUGUCAGUGUCAGCUACGAGCUUUGGCCUGUGGCUACCCAGGGAAGAGGGUCCUGUACAGUCAGAGUGUUAAGGAUGAUGCCAAACCCCAUGGGAUUCUGGAUAUUCACCUACACAGCAGAAAGAGUCUUCCUGAGACAUUGGCCUGGCUGAUACAUGUGUCCACCAAAACAUUCAAGCCCAUUGGAACAUGAGGACUUGCACAGUGACCAGCUGCUGCUCCCCAUCCUGGCUCUCCUCAGCCACCUCAGUGGAACGAGCACUUUGCAGUCACACCCUAUGGUAUGAGAAACAGCAUCAAGAUCUGGCGCCUAGGAGAUUCUCUGGACAUGAGCAGCCUGCCUCCUUGCAGGACAAGCUCCUACUCCUCCAGUGGCUGCUGUGCUCUGGUCAGCAGCACAGGGCAGGUGCUGGAGCAGAGGGAGCAGAUCCACGGCUGUAGUCAUCCAAGCUGUGCAGAGGCUGAAUGCCUGUGGAGAUGGAUCCAUGGGCAGCCUCUCUGCUUGCAGCGUGUCGAGCCAAGCACUUUGCUGGCUGAGCUGCUCUGUGUAUAAACUUUCCCAUGAUGAUCUGGGCAGCUUUUCUUAUUCCCUCAAGCGCAAAGCUUGUAAAUGGGACCAGUGCCACUAAGAUGAAUUUCUGUAGGCAGAAAGCAACAGAUAUGCUCAAAGUGACUUAUUUACAUUUACCAAUGCGAUUGUCUGUUCUGACAGUUAAGGAGUCAUUACAGAGUCUCUCCCAGAACAGUCAGUUUAGCCAAUGUUUCAGACAUGUACAAGCAAAAACAGGAGGAUUACUAGUGGAUGAUCUGGGGUUCAAUCACAUAUCCAAGGCACACGUCAGGAUUCAGCCUUACUAAGGUUAUUCUUGUGCAUUGUGCUUUUAUUGCAUGUUUUCUUUCCCAUCAUGGUUUUGUGCCAUGGAAAGUUCUCACUGGAAGAUUUGACACCCCAUGCAUGUCUUCCCAAAUGCAGAGAGAUAAAAGGAAGGUUAAAAAGAAAGCAGUGCCAUUGAAAUUCAAGGGUGUAGAUUUUUAAUAUCAGGUAGGCUUCUUUGUAACCCUUUGGUAUACAAUAUUCCUGCAACACUGCAGAGAGGCAUACUGCAAAUGAGUACCAGGCUAAUUGAGAACACAGGCCUAAAAAUAGAGGUGUCUGGGAAGUGAUGAUUUUCCCACAGAAACAUCAGGUUUUCAUAAAAAAAAAAAAAAAAAAGUUUAAAGUAUAAUGUAGAAAGGUUUUGAAUUAUUGCGCUUAAAUUUUAUGUUCUUCUUUCUGACAGACACUGAAGAUUUUUGUUGAAAAACAUUUAUAACAAUAACAAAAACAUUGCCUUCCUCAAGAAAACCAUGGCUACUGGCAUAAUAAUUAAAAAAGUCUUUAAAAUUUUAUAUUCAACUGAUAUUUUUUUUCUGCUUAUCUUUUUUUUUUCUAUCCUCUGCUUCUCACACUGACUGGUACUCGGGUGGUAACACUAAAGUGGCUAUUUAAGGUGGCUAUUUUUAAAAAAUCUUAGGUGGUACUAAGGAAAACCAACACUUCUUCUUUCUUAACUCAGGUCUUCUCCCACUGUUUUUUAUUUUCUUCAUAUUUGAUAGUGCUU
Anas platyrhynchos (mallard) is the source of this 8747-nucleotide non-coding RNA. NCBI's taxonomy places the organism in Eukaryota, Metazoa, Chordata, Aves, Anseriformes, Anatidae. The record is from RefSeq and is a predicted model, not a curated record.